CAUGAAGUCAUUUCAUUGUGUGGUCACAUGACUGUAAUGACAGAGCAGUCAUGUGACCACACAAUGAAAUAACUUCAUG
This is a non-coding RNA of Podarcis lilfordi (Lilford's wall lizard), 79 nucleotides long. NCBI's taxonomy places the organism in Eukaryota, Metazoa, Chordata, Lepidosauria, Squamata, Lacertidae. The record is from the annotation of a GenBank genome assembly.